This 253-nucleotide ribosomal RNA is filed under the name uncultured bacterium. RNAcentral's name for it is "partial 16S ribosomal RNA". It matches the Rfam family "Bacterial small subunit ribosomal RNA", at positions 524 to 776 of the family's 1533-position model. The record is from RNAcentral.
UACGUAGGGGGCAAGCGUUGUCCGGAAUCAUUGGGCGUAAAGAGCGUGUAGGCGGCCUGGUAAGUCCGCUGUGAAAGUCCAGGGCUCAACCCUGGAAUGCCGGUGGAAACUGUCAGGCUCGAGUCCGGAAGAGGCGAGUGGAAUUCCUGGUGUAGCGGUGAAAUGCGCAGAUAUCAGGAGGAACACCAAUGGCGAAGGCAGCUCGCUGGGACGGUACUGACGCUGAGACGCGAAAGCAUGGGGAGCGAACAGG